This 655-nucleotide ribosomal RNA is filed under the name Orbulina universa. Its description in RNAcentral is "bacterial SSU rRNA". The stretch from base 1 to 578 matches the Rfam family "Eukaryotic small subunit ribosomal RNA", at positions 1210 to 1608 of the family's 1831-position model. The record is from RNAcentral. Lineage: Eukaryota; Foraminifera; Rotaliida; Globigerinidae.
CCGAACUACGAAUAAUGAAUGGUCCAGGGUAGGCAAAAACUAAUAGCUCUUUUAUGAUUAUGUGAUAGGUGGUGCAUGGCCGUUCUUAGUUCGUGGAGUGAUCUGUCUGCUUAAUUGCGUUUCAAAACAACUGAUACACAGAGUCUUGGCACAGUUCAGUUUAAUGGCGUCGAGUAUCUUUGAUUUCGACAGUAGUCCAACUCGGUUCGCCAGGGUCUCUUUUGAACGCAACGGACGUGAUCGCAACCCUUUGUUGAGUGAUGUCAGCACUCUACGUCUAUCCUAGCUCGUUGAUCGCAAGUGAGAGUUGGGUGGGCAAACUCAGGGGACAGCUUCAACUAUUCUUCUUCAAACUAGAGGAAGGUUGCGGCAAUAACAGGUCUGUGAUGCCCUCAGAUGUUCUAGGCUGCACACGUGCUACAUUGAUCAGCACAAUGCGAUACAUUUCGAAAGGAAACAUCGGUUUUAAGGUAACGUCGAUUGCCUACCGAUAGCACCUGGUCCUCAGUGGACUGGGCAAUCUCUUCUAAAUGCUGGUAAGGUACCCACACUCGAGCUAUUUAAUCACACGCGGGAGGCACACACGGUUCAAAUCUCAUUUGCGACUGUUGCCGCCAUGACGUAUGCAACUUGUCAACUCUUCGUGGGGAUCGUC